This 780-nucleotide ribosomal RNA is filed under the name Cytophaga sp. F12. Its description in RNAcentral is "bacterial SSU rRNA". It matches the Rfam family "Bacterial small subunit ribosomal RNA", at positions 47 to 822 of the family's 1533-position model. Lineage: Bacteria; Pseudomonadati; Bacteroidota; Cytophagia; Cytophagales; Cytophagaceae. The record is from RNAcentral.
CUUAACACAUGCAAGUCGAGGGGUAACAUUGUAGCUUGCUACAGAUGACGACCGGCGAACGGGUGCGUAACGCGUAUAGAAUCUGCCUUGUACAUGAGGAUAGCCUUUAGAAAUGAAGAUUAAUACUCCAUAAUGCUAAUAUGUGGCAUCACAAAUUAGUUAAAGAUUUAUCGGUACAAGAUGACUAUGCGUCCUAUUAGCUAGAUGGUAAGGUAACGGCUUACCAUGGCAACGAUAGGUAGGGGGUCUGAGAGGAUUAUCCCCCACACUGGUACUGAGACACGGACCAGACUCCUACGGGAGGCAGCAGUGAGGAAUAUUGGUCAAUGGAGGCAACUCUGAACCAGCCAUGCCGCGUGCAGGAUGACUGCCCUAUGGGUUGUAAACUGCUUUUAUACAGGAAGAAACCGAUGUACGUGUACAUCCUUGACGGUACUGUAAGAAUAAGGACCGGCUAACUCCGUGCCAGCAGCCGCGGUAAUACGGAGGGUCCAAGCGUUAUCCGGAAUCAUUGGGUUUAAAGGGUCCGCAGGCGGUCAAUUAAGUCAGAGGUGAAAUCCCAUAGCUUAACUAUGGAACUGCCUUUGAUACUGGUUGACUUGAGUUAUACGGAAGUAGAUAGAAUAAGUAGUGUAGCGGUGAAAUGCAUAGAUAUUACUUAGAAUACCGAUUGCGAAGGCAGUCUACUACGUAUAUACUGACGCUCAUGGACGAAAGCNUGGGGAGCGAACAGGAUUAGAUACCCUGGUAGUCCACGCCGUAAACGAUGGAUACUAGUUG